Molecule: transfer RNA, 72 nt
Filed under: Cavia porcellus (domestic guinea pig)
Lineage: Eukaryota; Metazoa; Chordata; Mammalia; Rodentia; Caviidae
Rfam family: tRNA
About the family: Transfer RNA (tRNA) molecules are approximately 80 nucleotides in length.
Source: Rfam by way of RNAcentral
GAGGGUGUAGCUCAGUGGUAGAGUGCUUACCUAGCAUGCACAAGGCUCUGAGUUCAAUUCCCAGUACCACCA